GACGAACGCUGGCGGCGUGCUUAACACAUGCCAGUCGAACGGAAAGGCCCUGCUUUUGUGGGGUGCUCGAGUGGCGAACGGGUGAGUAACACGUGAGUAACCUGCCCUUGACUUUGGGAUAACUUCAGGAAACUGGGGCUAAUACCGGAUAGGAGCUCCUGCUGCAUGGUGGGGGUUGGAAAGUUUCGGCGGUUGGGGAUGGACUCGCGGCUUAUCAGCUUGUUGGUGGGGUAGUGGCUUACCCAGGCUUUGACGGGUAGCCGGCCUGAGAGGGUGACCGGCCACAGUGGGACUGGGAUACGGCCCAGACGCCUACGGGAGGCAGGAGUGGGGAAUAUUGCACAAUGGGUGGAAGCCUGAUGCAGCAACGCCGCGUGCGGGAUGACGGCCUUCGGGUUGUAAACCGCUUUCGCCUGUGACGAAGCGUGAGUGACGGUAAUGGGUAAAGAAGCACCGGCUAACUACGU
RNAcentral lists this ribosomal RNA (467 nucleotides) under uncultured bacterium. Its description in RNAcentral is "partial 16S ribosomal RNA". It matches the Rfam family "Bacterial small subunit ribosomal RNA", at positions 28 to 506 of the family's 1533-position model. The record is from RNAcentral.